AUUGAACGCUGGCGGCAUGCCUUACACAUGCAAGUCGAACGGCAGCACGGGUGCUUGCACCUGGUGGCGAGUGGCGAACGGGUGAGUAAUACAUCGGAACGUACCUUAUCGUGGGGGAUAACGCAGCGAAAUUUGCGCUAAUACCGCAUACGCCCUGAGGGGGAAAGCGGGGGACCGUAAGGCCUCGCGCGAUUAGAGCGGCCGAUGUCUGAUUAGCUUGUUGGUGAGGUAAAAGCUCACCAAGGCGAUGAUCAGUAGCUGGUCUGAGAGGACGAUCAGCCACACUGGGACUGAGACACGGCCCAGACUCCUACGGGAGGCAGCAGUGGGGAAUUUUGGACGAUGGGGGCAACCCUGAUCCAGCAAUGCCGCGUGAGUGAAGAAGGCCUUCGGGUUGUAAAGCUCUUUUGUCAGGGAAGAAACAGCAGCUCUAACACAGUCUGUGAAUGACGGUACCUGAAGAAUGAGCACCGGCUAACUACGUGCCAGCCGCCGCCGUAA
This 501-nucleotide ribosomal RNA is filed under the name uncultured bacterium. RNAcentral describes it as "partial 16S ribosomal RNA". It matches the Rfam family "Bacterial small subunit ribosomal RNA", at positions 30 to 523 of the family's 1533-position model. The record is from RNAcentral.